RNAcentral lists this ribosomal RNA (493 nucleotides) under bacterium enrichment culture clone LiUU-12-3. RNAcentral's name for it is "bacterial SSU rRNA". It matches the Rfam family "Bacterial small subunit ribosomal RNA", at positions 346 to 853 of the family's 1533-position model. The record is from RNAcentral.
AGGCAGCAGUGGGGAAUUUUCCGCAAUGGGCGAAAGCCUGACGGAGCAACGCCGCGUGUGGGAGGAAGGUUUUAGGACUGUAAACCACUUUUCUCAGGGAAGAAGAUCUGACGGUACCUGAGGAAUCAGCAUCGGCUAAUUCCGUGCCAGCAGCCGCGGUAAUACGGGAGAUGCAAGCGUUAUCCGGAAUUAUUGGGCGUAAAGCGUCCGCAGGCGGUCUUAUAAGUCUGUCGUUAAAGCACACAGCUUAACUGUGGGAGAGCGAUGGAAACUGUGAGACUAGAGUGCGGUAGGGGUAGGGGGAAUUCCCGGUGUAGCGGUGAAAUGCGUAGAUAUCGGGAAGAACACCAGCAGCGAAAGCGCCCUACUGGGCCGCAACUGACGCUCAUGGACGAAAGCUAGGGGAGCGAAAGGGAUUAGAUACCCCUGUAGUCCUAGCCGUAAACGAUGGACACUANGUGUUGUCUGUAUCGACCCGGACAGUGCCGUAGCU